RNAcentral lists this ribosomal RNA (558 nucleotides) under Triticum aestivum (bread wheat). RNAcentral's name for it is "partial small subunit ribosomal RNA". The record is from RNAcentral. Lineage: Eukaryota; Viridiplantae; Streptophyta; Magnoliopsida; Poales; Poaceae.
AUGGCAGGACCUCUAGGCUACUCGAAGUUUGCAGAUAUGAGUACUGCACAAGAGUUUAUUGAGCUCGUACGUGGAAAUUGGGGGAAAAGGCUCCAGCCAAUGCCGUGGCAUACAUCACAGGAAGUGAACAAAUGCAUCGAAAUAGCAUUAAGAUGUGUGGAGGCAGACCGAGUGUUAAGGCCUACCAUAACUGAGAUUGUCGAUGAGCUCAGAAAGAUAGAUACCAUGAAAAGGUCAUCCACAAGCCAGGACUCCGAGCCUGAGUCCAAAAUGCGUGCCAUAAUCGACCCUCUCGAGCUACGGUUCCCAUUGGAGCUGAACAAGGAGGUCCGGUGCGUGCUGCAGCUGACCAACAUGACGGGUGACACUAUCGUGUUCAACGUGAAGAUGAACCAGGACAAGUACUACGCGCAACCAGAAGAAAGAGAUUGCGACGAUGCGAGCAUGGGGGGAAGCCGCGGCGCCACCGGACAUGCAGUGCAACGACGUGUUCCUUGUGCAGAGCAGAAGGGUGAGGGAGGACGACCAUCUGAUUGCACCAGACAGCGAUAUCGCUGA